Molecule: ribosomal RNA, 465 nt
Filed under: uncultured bacterium
Lineage: Bacteria
Description: partial 16S ribosomal RNA
Rfam family: Bacterial small subunit ribosomal RNA
Source: RNAcentral
CCUACGGGUGGCAGCAGUAGGGAAUCUUCCACAAUGGGCGCAAGCCUGAUGGAGCAACACCGCGUGAGUGAAGAAGGGUUUCGGCUCGUAAAGCUCUGUUGUUGGAGAAGAACGUGCGUGAGAGUAACUGUUCACGCAGUGACGGUAUCCAACCAGAAAGUCACGGCUAACUACGUGCCAGCAGCCGCGGUAAUACGUAGGUGGCAAGCGUUAUCCGGAUUUAUUGGGCGUAAAGCGAGCGCAGGCGGUUGCUUAGGUCUGAUGUGAAAGCCCUCGGCUUAACCGAAGAAGUGCAUUGGAAACCGGGGGACUUGAGUGCAGAAGAGGACAGUGGAACUCCAUGUGUAGCGGUGGAAUGCGUAGAUAUCACGAAGAACUCCAAUUGCGAAGGCAGCAUACCGGCGCUCAACUGACGCUCAUGCACGAAAGUGUGGGUAUCGAACAGGAUUAGAUACCCUAGUAGUC